AUGAUUAUUUCUACCGCAUAUGGAGAGGGGAGAGCCGUCGAGUGGAUCUCGCGGAAGGGGCCUCCGCCGGCCGCCGGCCCCCGGCCUCCUCCCGGGGCUGCUAGGUCCUGCCGACCACCGGCGACCUGCUCGCUGGUGAGUAUAUGCAGCGGCCCGAAGAGGCACGUGCAGGGGAAGGCUUCCCCGGAUCUCCCAGGACAGCGAUAUCAGGUACAUGGGCAUGAGAUGGGAAUCACAAUUGUUGUGGAGGAAGGGAAGAAUGUCUUGUUAUUUGGCUGUUGCCAUCCAUGUUCUUUUGGGUUUCACAAUGCAAUAAGUGUUCCUCUCCGCAACGAAUAUAUUAGAUCGAGCAUCAUGUCAUGUACACCAUAA
This 372-nucleotide ribosomal RNA is filed under the name Triticum aestivum (bread wheat). RNAcentral describes it as "partial small subunit ribosomal RNA". Lineage: Eukaryota; Viridiplantae; Streptophyta; Magnoliopsida; Poales; Poaceae. The record is from RNAcentral.